UAACUGAAAACCGCCUCAUAUUCCCCCGGGCCCAUGGGCAGCUUCAGAGGACUGAGCCGUGUGCUCGGUGGCGCUGGGACUGUUGUGAGGAUCAAACGAGAUAAUGUAUGCGAAGGCAUGCUGUGAAUUCUGCGUGCCCAGGGCAGGAGAAUGGAGGCCCCAGAGUGGGUCUAAUGACACUCUCUUGAUGAAGAUCUUGGCUGUGACUUCUGUGGGAAAUGAGCCAUGGACCAACCAACAAUGAACGCACUAGAGCUGAUCAGCCAUCCUUAACUGAUGAAGGGCUUACCUCUGUGGGUAAGGAGCAUGGAGG
Molecule: long non-coding RNA, 313 nt
Organism: Balaenoptera acutorostrata (minke whale)
Lineage: Eukaryota; Metazoa; Chordata; Mammalia; Artiodactyla; Balaenopteridae
Exons: 4
Source: RefSeq, a predicted model, not a curated record